UCCAAUGAUUCUCAGCCUAGGUGAAGAGACUUUUUCAAACCACCCUCAGGAGAUUUGAUGUGCAUCGACCUUCUGCCACCAAGACUCAACUAUCAGCUCCUUGAAGUUGGGGCUCCGUCUUACACAGUGGAUGUGCGCACACUUGCCCCGUCUUUGAGUACUGCUGAAGAGAAGCUGUGGCAUUUAUUCCUGGAUAGUUAAUGGACUGUGUAAAGGUAACACAACCCAAACUGAAUCACCCGAAAUGACGGCUCUGCCAGUGUUCCCCACCACAACAGACAGCUCCACAGCCGCCCAGGUGAGCCGGCCACGCCCUUAGAGCUCCCCUUUCCUCUCACACCUCGUUUUCAGAACUUCAGCAAAGUACGUCCAGAUUCUGACUACUUCACAUUUCUGCCACUGAUUCCAUCCCAGAGCAAAUCAUCAUGCUGCUCCUUUUCCUAUUUUUUUUUUUCUGAAGGAAAUAAAGAAGCAGCCAUGA
RNAcentral lists this long non-coding RNA (481 nucleotides) under Ictidomys tridecemlineatus (thirteen-lined ground squirrel). RNAcentral's name for it is "lncRNA (ENSSTOG00000032181.1)". The record is from RNAcentral. Lineage: Eukaryota; Metazoa; Chordata; Mammalia; Rodentia; Sciuridae.